This 495-nucleotide ribosomal RNA is filed under the name uncultured bacterium. Its description in RNAcentral is "partial 16S ribosomal RNA". It matches the Rfam family "Bacterial small subunit ribosomal RNA", at positions 28 to 507 of the family's 1533-position model. The record is from RNAcentral.
GACGAACGCUGGCGGCGUGCCUAAUACAUGCAAGUAGAACGCUGAAGGAGGAGCUUGCUCUUCUGGAUGAGUUGCGAACGGGUGAGUAACGCGUAGGUAACCUGCCUGGUAGCGGGGGAUAACUAUUGGAAACGAUAGCUAAUACCGCAUAACAGUAGAUGUUGCAUGACAUUUACUUAAAAGGUGCAAUUGCAUCACUACCAGAUGGACCCGCGUUGUAUUAGCUAGUUGGUGGGGUAACGGCUCACCAAGGCGACGAUACAUAGCCGACCUGAGAGGGGGAUCGGCCACACUGGGACUGAGACACGGCCCAGACUCCUACGGGAGGCAGCAGUAGGGAAUCUUCGGCAAUGGACGGAAGUCUGACCGAGCAACGCCGCGUGAGUGAAGAAGGUUUUCGGAUCGUAAAGCUCUGUUGUAAGAGAAGAACGAGUGUGAGAGUGGAAAGUUCACACUGUGACGGUAUCUUACCAGAAAGGGACGGCUAACUACGUG